CUGGUUUCUUUCUCGUAUUCUUUAAUUGACUUACUUUGACUUUUAUUUGUCUCAUCUGAUUUCGUCGCGCUCUUAAUUUCAUUGCCUUUUCUCUUCGUCUCGUUGUAUUUGUCUCCGUUUUCUUGUGUUGAAAUUUGAGGAACAUUCCAGGAACUGCAGCUUGUCCAGGAGGCAAAUUUUAUUGCAGGAAUGCGGGGAGUGUACCUAAUUUCAUUUUUUCUUCUCGCGUUAAUGAUGAUUUUUGUGGUCUGUGUUCUUCUCUUGUAUUCUAGUUACAUACUGUAAUUUUUCGUAUUUUAAUCCAUUACUUGCCGAAGAAUAUUGAUUUCUUCGAAGAUUUUAGGUUAGGUUACUAACAAAAUGUCCUAAACUAAAUUGCAUUUCAUAGAGUUUAGUUUUUGUUUGAGUUACUUGUUUUUUUAUUAUUGAAACUUCAAAAUUUUGGUUGGCAAUUCAACACUUCUGUAGAUUGCUGUGAUGGAAGUGAUGAGUAUGAAAACAGGAUCCGUUGUCCCAAUACAUGUAUCAUGGGUGGGACUGUUGAACACAAGUCUGAAAGUAUUGGAAUCUCGGUUCAUAAGGACUUGGAAAUUGAUAAUGUUGAUGUAAAAGAAACCAAGAAUGGUGUCAAUUUAAAGGAAUUGGUUCAGACGCUUGAAGGUGUAGUUAUAUCUUUUAUGGUGUUUUGGUUUUGAUGCACUUAAGAGGGCUAAUGCAUGUUAGUUCAUGAGAUUAAUGGAAGUUGUGUCUUGAUGCUUUCAGGGUUGACAUUUGUGAUAUUCCUGCAGAUGUCUGCUGUUGGGUUUUUGAUGGUCCUGUGGGUAUCGGAAAAGCAUGAUAGAUCUAGGAAACGCUGAUUUUGAUGAAGGAAAAAGAAUCAACUUUUAGCUCACUGUUUGAUUUUGGGUAAUAGUCCUCAAAGUACUUAUCUUGUUUUGCUUUUUCGGAUAGAAUUUUGUGUGCGCCCUUAUGUAUGUUGUUUCGUGGCGUUUCAGGCUAUAUGAUAUGCAUGUGUUCUUCUCUUGUUUCUGAUACAUUGCGUUCCUCUGUUUCCCUUGUCUCAACCCAAAAAGGGGCCAGACAUUAUCUGGAUGUUGAUUCCAUUAGGUUUAUAAAGCAUCAAUCUGAGAAACAUGAGGAAAAUUCAUUCUAAUGCACUGAAGAGGUUCAAGAGGAUGAAGAAUUCUCCCAUGCAAAAAUAGAAGCUUUUGUAUGUUGUUGUAGUGAAGAAAUUGUUGAAUUUCUUUGCUUUGCUACUACUAGUCUGGUAUGAACGAAGAAGAGCUGCUUGAUUAUAUUCCCUUAAUUAUAUGCGGAGUGAAAUGUCAGUUGCAGUUGUGUCAACCAAGCUUCCAAAAUUCUUAUCCUUUCUCCUCCCAUUGAAUCGUGUCCGCUCAAUUUCCUCACCUGCAUUUCAUACUGUUGAAGAAACCAUCAGAGCUGCAGUUGAAUCCAAGACUUACGAACAGAUACCUGAUCUUCUAAUUUCACUAAAACAAAUUUCCCAAAGGAAUAAUCCCUACUUGCUUCUGUCUAAGUUUUCUCAAAUUCGGAGAACCCAUAGCUUUGAUGAUAUGUUACAAGCUUUUCUCCCACUCAGACCAGGUUCUCGUCCCCUAAUUGCCUAUUCCUACCUUCUUUCUCACACACUUCAAGCUCCCAAUCCUCUUCCUCUUUCUCUUGCUGUCCUCCAAUGUAUUCUUCGUUCUGGGUCUAGCGCUGCUCUCCAGACCCACCUUCUUUUAUCUUCUGCAUGGCUUCACCGACGCCGCCAAUCUCACUCUGUCUCCAACAUCCUACUGGAGAUGAAAUCCAUUCGUUAUUUUCCUGAUUCUGCCACCUGCUAUUAUAUAUGCGCACCAAGAUUUCUCUCUCAGUUUUAUUUCUGUGGACGUGUUCAGGCCGCACCACGAAUUUAUUUAUCUGUAAGUUAAUUUUAAUUGUGCUAUUAUUUUUCUUUAUACAUCGUGAUUUUGUAACGAAAAUAAAAAAUUUUUAAAAUCUAAUUGGGAUUUGCAUAUCCAUUCAUGUCGAUAUGCUUACAUUGAAUUAUUUUUGUAUUUUUUAUUUUUUUAUGUAAAUUGUUAUGGAUUUAAAGUAAAGAAUGUAUAUUUUUCUUGUUUAAUUUCCACUAGAAUUAUACUAAAUAUUGCUAUAUACAGUUAUAUUAGGGUAUAAUAACCUCCCCGUCUUGACAAAUUUGCAUUCAAAAAGGACUCCUAUACAUAAUAUGUAUAUCAAUACGUAUAAAUUUGUUUUAAUUUCUGAUUUUUUUAUUAUCCAGAUAUUUAAUAAAUUAUGAUUUGUAUUCUCAGCAGUUUAGAUUUCUUUCCUAUUGAAAAAACCUUCAUAUAUUUAGUAAUAUUUUACUUAUAUACAUACAUGUCUCUUCUUCUUCUUCUUCAUCUUCAUAUGAGCAACCUAAAUCCUAAUUAACCCUACCCAUAAAGCUUUUUGGUAUUAGGGUAACAAUCUUUUCAUGUCCCAAGAAAUUUUCUUUUUUAUUUGAUUUUCUUAUCUUCCCAUUCGAUUUUCUUGUUCAUAUUGUUUAUAAGACACAUCCUUUUCGUUCUUAUCCAAACAAAUUUUCAAAAAGUUUGUAUGUAUAUAUAUAUAUAUAUAUGUGAUCAUAUAUUACUGUUGAAUUUCUUCCCUGCAUGCAUAUAUAUUUAUAUUUCCUUUUUACUUAUUAGUAUAUUCUUUCUUUUUCUCCUCUCUCUCUCUCGUGUAUUGUUUAACAUAUAUGUUAAAAAUAAUAUAUAAGUUUGUAUUAUUUUCAUGAUUCUUUUGACCGAUUUAGGAUGCAAGGGGAUAACGAAAACAAAUCAAGCAAUACCAUCGGGAGUACACAUCCAGCAUGUGCCUCGUGCAAACAUCAAAGAAAAAAGUGCAACAAUGACUGUAUACUGGCACCAUACUUCCCUGCAGAUAAAAAUAGGGAGUUUCAAGCGGUGCAUAAAGUGUUUGGAGUGAGUAAUGUUCAGAAACUAAUACGAAAUUUGAAAGGCGAGGAUCAGAAAAAGGCUGUGGAAUCUUUGGUUUGGGAAGCUUCUUGCAGACAAAAGGAUCCAGUACAAGGACCUUACGGAGAAUACAAGAGAGUCUGUGACGAACUUACAUUAUACAAGAAUCAAAUACAAAUGAUGCAGUUGCCGGGACAAGGAGCUACCAUGUUUAAGCUCGGGAUGCCAAUGAUGGGUUGGAAUGGGAAUCAUGGAAUGAUCAAUAAUAAUAAUAACAACAACAUGCUCAAUUUUAACCAAGAAAACGAUAAGUUGAUAUUUGACUCCAACACCUACUGCUACCCUUCUACUAAUGUAGAGAGACUAAAGAAUGAUCAUGUGGGUGUUGGUGUUACUCUUACUCCUCAAAUUCACCAACACACAACAAAUGCAGUAUCCCAUUAAUCAGUUCUACCUUUCUGGUAAGUUUGAACUAAUCCCUAUAUAUGCAUUUAAAUUAUACAUACUACAUAUAUAUAAUGAAAAUUUGUAAUUACCAUCUAUAUUAUAUUUGACCCUAUUAUUUUAAUUAAGUAAUUAUUCUUUUUUGGGUGAUGAGUAGAGAUAGAGAUUGUGCGUUCCGUUCAUUAUUUUUAAAUUAUUGUGUUAUGAUUAGUAUAUGUGUAUUAAUUAAUAAAAUAAUAUAGAUUUUCACUUUUUAAAUCGAGAUUUAAUUAUUGAAAAUACAUAAUCUAUACAAUUCAUAAACGUAUUCUUGUGAAUGUAUAAAAUAAAAUAAAUCAUGGUUUUUAUUUGGAUUUCACUUGCUUAAUUAUUGUAGGUCAAUUUGGUCCUAACUAAUGGCAAGAUGAUGGAAGGUGAAUGUAUGGAGAAAGAGAACAUAUUUUGGAUAAGGGAAAGCGUAGGAGAUGAUACAAGAAACUAAUAUCUUUGUGUACUUUUUUUUGGGUUUCAUAUCUUCUCUUUGUUUUCCCUAAGUAAUAUGUUUAAUUGGAUAAUGCUAUUUUCUCAUAAAAAUAUGCUAGAUUUUCAUGUAUUUAUAUAUGUUUCGUGUGAUUUAUAUAUUAGAUUCUCGUGUAUUUAUAUAUGUUUGGUGUGAUUUUUAGUUUUAAAUUAAAAAAUAUAUAAUUAUUGUCUUUCCCCUAAGGGUUUAAUUUCACAUUACUAAUAAUUUUAAUUUUUUUAAAAAAUUAUUAAUUUAAUGGUAUUAUACUUGGUUUAUAAUUUUAAAAAAAAUUAAUUAUUUUUUAUAUUUUAAAAAAAAUAAAAAAGAAAUUACUUUUAGAUAAAGUAUAAAAAUUAUAAUAUUAUUUUAAAAUUUCAAGGAAUAAAGUAAUGUAAUUUAAGUAGAGUGUUUAAUGUAUUUCGAAUUAAUUAAAUUAAACACUACCGGACCAUAACUUGGGCCCAAUUCGUGUUGAAUCAAGUGUUGACUUUUGGUCAACGGACAUGAAAGCACAAGUUCAGAACUUCCGAGUCCAUGAAAUUCACAAAGGAAAAAGGAGGAGCAACAGAUUACUAUGACAGUAACCUCUCAUCUCUACUCACCUUUCUUCUUCGUGAUCUUCAUCGUUGCCUUCGUCCGCUCUGACCUGCUUCCCCGGGGUGUUCAUCCUAUAGGUUACCUUUCUCUCAUUCUCAUUUUACAUAUAAUCCAAUUACUUGUAUUUUAUUUUAGUAAUUGGAUCAAUUUGCUGUUAUACUAUCGAAUUUUGAUUGUUUUUUUUUUUUGGGCAAAAAUUUGGCCAGAUGAGAAAUACUUUGCGUCGGAGGUGAUAAAAUGCAGGGACGGAUCGAAAUCGUUCACCAGGGACCGUCUCAACGACAACUAUUGCGAUUGCGUUGACGGGACCGAUGAGCCUGGUUUCUUUCUCGUAUUCUUUAAUUGGCUUACUUUGACUUUUGUUUGUGCUCAUCUGAUUUUGGUGCCGCUCUUAAUCUCAUUGCCUUUUCUCUUCGAGUCGUUGUAUUUGUCUCCGUUUUCUUGUGUUGAAAUUUGAGGAACAUUGCAGGAACUGCAGCUUGUCCAGGAGGCAAGUUUUAUUGCAGGAAUGCGGGGAGUGUACCUAAUUUCAUUUUUUCUUCUCGCGUUAAUGAUGAUUUUUGUGGUCUGUGUUCUUCUCUUGUAUUCUAGUUACAUACUGUAAUUUUUCCUAUUUCAAUCCAUUUACUUGCUUAAGAAUAUUGAUUACUUCGAAGAUUUUAGGUUGGAUUACUAACAAAAUGUCCUAAACUAAAUUGCAUUUGCAUAGAGUUUAGUUUUUGUUUGAGUUACUUGGUUUUUUUAUUAUUGAAACUUGAAAUUUUGGUUGGCAAUUCCAACACUUCUGUAGAUUG
RNAcentral lists this long non-coding RNA (5300 nucleotides) under Carica papaya (papaya). RNAcentral describes it as "long non-coding RNA (CPAP_LNC004457)". Lineage: Eukaryota; Viridiplantae; Streptophyta; Magnoliopsida; Brassicales; Caricaceae. The record is from RNAcentral.